RNAcentral lists this ribosomal RNA (433 nucleotides) under uncultured bacterium. RNAcentral describes it as "partial 16S ribosomal RNA". It matches the Rfam family "Bacterial small subunit ribosomal RNA", at positions 29 to 507 of the family's 1533-position model. The record is from RNAcentral.
AACGAACGCUGGCGGCAUGCCUAACACAUGCAAGUCGAACGAGACCUUCGGGUCUAGUUGCGCACGGGUGCGUAACGCGUGGGAACCUGCCCUUAGGUUCGGAAUAACUCCCCGAAAGGGGUGCUAAUACCGGAUAAUGUCUUCGGACCAAAGAUUUAUCGCCUUUGGAUGGGCCCGCGUUGGAUUAGCUAGUUGGUAGGGUAAAAUCCUACCAAGGCGACGAUCCAUAGCUGGUCUGAGAGGAUGAUCAGCCACACUGGGACUGAGACACGGCCCAGACUCCUACGGGAAGCAGCAGUGGGGAAUAUUGGACAAUGGGCGAAAGCCUGAUCCAGCAAUGCCGCGUGAGUGAUGAAGGCCUUAGGGUUGUAAAGCUCUUUUACCCGGGAUGAUAAUGACAGUACCGGGAGAAUAAGCUCCGGCUAACUCCGUG